CCACACGGGCGUGUGGGCCCAUCUAUCUAAAAUUUUUCCUAGGGUUGCACGGGUCGUCCCAAACAACUGUGGGCCUACUGUAGGAUCGGUAAUCUACAGAGGUAGGUGGAUCGGUGCAACGAAGGACUCGACGGUGACCACCCGCUUUUACUGUUUUAUUUUGUUUUAUGGUUUUAAUUAAGUUUUGACAUUGAGACGAGAGAGGUUGUAUUUUUUGGGACUUUUGGAUCUUUUAAACUAUUUGGCGUUGGUUUUGGUUUUUUGGUUUUAA
Molecule: long non-coding RNA, 271 nt
Organism: Gossypium arboreum
Lineage: Eukaryota; Viridiplantae; Streptophyta; Magnoliopsida; Malvales; Malvaceae
Exons: 2
Source: RefSeq, a predicted model, not a curated record